RNA transcript from Dreissena polymorpha, 2450 nucleotides. It is a transcript of the gene named carbonic anhydrase 6-like, with no coding region annotated. The record is from RefSeq and is a predicted model, not a curated record. The transcript has 3 exons. NCBI's taxonomy places the organism in Eukaryota, Metazoa, Mollusca, Bivalvia, Myida, Dreissenidae.
UACAAAUCACCUGUAAACUAAUAAGGGAGGUAACCACUGUAUCGAACAUGUAACUGCGUUGCAAGAAAUUAGAGUACUGCCAUUUUAGUUUUUGUCCCCUACCGAUUUCACCGGAGGGGACUUAUGGUUUGCGCUCUGUGCGUCUGUCUGUCUGUCACACUUUUCUGGAUCCUGCGAUAACUUAAAAGUUCUUCAUAUUUUUUCAUGAAACUUGAAUCGUGGAUAGAUGGCAGUAUGGACAUUAUGCACGUCAUAUUAUUUUGUUCCUUCGUCAAAAAUUCUGAUUGCUAUGGCAACAAAUAUAUAUAUAUAUAAAAACUAUGACAAUGGUGGAGCCGGUAGGGGACAUAUAAUUGCUACGUAAUAGUCUUGUUAUAUCUUUUCUGAACUUGCAAAACGAUGUGUUAGGUUAAGUAGCUCGAAAAGGUUAAGUUUGACGUUUCUUCAAUAAUGCAUUAUAAUAAUACAUUAGCAACUCACGGUUAAUAUGAUUACACUACAUCGAUUUGACUGCUGAUUAAUUGCAAACAUUAACCCAUUUUAGCCUAGUUGACUCUCCCAUCCUUCUAAAUUGGAGCAAUUUAUUUCCAAAAUUAGGGAUGUCUAGUAUAUUUGUUUCUAUAUUUAAAAAAUUUCUUACAGAAAUUUCUUUAAGCAAACAGCGCAGACCCUGAUGAGACCCUCUCAUCUGGGUCUACGCUGUUUGCCAAUGCCUUUUUCUAGACGCUAGGCAUAAAUGGGUUUAAGAAAAUGCAAUAGUUGUAUGAAAUUAAGUUUUUCUAAUAAACGUCCUCUGUAAUUUAUGUAAGAAAUAUUCUAAAUAUAUAAAUAAAUAUACUAGAAAUCCCUAAUUUUGGAAAUAAAUUGAUCCAAUUGCAUGCGGCGUCUAAUCUGGGUCUACGCUGUUUGCCAAUGUCUUUUUUCUAGACGCUAUGCAUAAAUGGGUAAAUCUCAGAAAAUGUUGCACACGACACACUUACCUGACGACAAAUUUAAACGAAUACAGAUUGGAAAUCAAAAGAAAAAUGAGUUUGAUCUAAAACAUCAAUUCAAAAUAACGUUUUGCAUUCAGUGACAAACAUUAUGCUUUGAGUGCCGUUUUUUUCUUAAAGAGCACAAUGGCGCCUGGUUCCGAGCACACCGUGAAUGGACGGCGCUACGACAGAGAGAUCCACUUUGUGUUGUUUAACAGCAAGUAUGGCACCUUAGAGAACGCCGAGAACAAAACAGACGGCAUUGCAGUGUUGGCAUUUUUGUCAAGACAGCACCGUGAACGCUCGAAUAAACCUUAAUACCUUCUUCGACCGGCAGUGCGAGUUCUUCACGUAUCGGGGCAGCAAAACGACCCCGCAGUGCUUCCAGUCCGUCCAAUGGGUAAUCUUCCGGGAGCCAAUACCGGUAUUGUACUAGUCGGUCAGUCAUAGUCACGUGAUGAGUUUUCAAGAGAAGCAUCAUAAACAUAAACUCCAUUAUCAUAAUCGUCAUCCGGAAACGUAUACCGGUCACAUGCCGGGUUUAAUCUUUGUGUGGGUUGCUUAAUAUGAUAUAGCCCACAUGACCAAUAUAUUACGUGUCUAAAGGCUUAACUUGUUGUUUUUUCUACUACCACACUGUAGGACCAGAGAGUGCAUUUGCGUGUUUAUUGUAUGAGUCGUGUUCUGAGAAAACUGGGCAUAAUGCUUGCAUAAUAACGUUAUCUCACAGUUUUGAGUCUAGAAACGCUUACUGUAUUUAAAAACCAAAGACGCAGUCAAAUACACGUCUUAUUUCGCCCACAUAUGUAACCAGUUAAACAUUCCUGUAAUGUUUGUUUCAGAUUGCGAAAAAUAGUCAUUUACUUUAAACAGCAUACAUUUUUUAAGAUGUAACUGUCGUCAUUUGACAACAAAGUCGAUGGCCAAUGUUUUCAUUUACGCGACUCCUUGGUAUCAUUUUUUUUAUUUUUCAUAACUAACCCAUAUUUUAUUCCAAUGGUCGGCAUUGCAGGCGCUGGAGUCCACCGGAGACUUCGACGCUCGUUACGGAAAUUACCGCAUUUCGCAGCCGCUUAACGACCGCAUAGUGGAGGCAAACUUCAUGCCUCCCGGUUACACUCGACCCCGACGGAAGCACAGUUUGAGCGAGGGAGCCAAAGGGAACUCCUCGUACAGACCGUCUAACUAGUUGAAUAGACCGUCAAUACUUUUGUCCACAAAACGCAUUUACAAACUCAAAAAACAGAAACUCAACUAUUUGAUUUAUUUAAAAUUAAAUAAUCUUUUUGUUUUGAUAUCUUUGGUAAAAGUGUAACAGUUCUAGUAGAUCAGCAGUUAUUUGUGUCUCUAUGGAAUCUAGUUUUACACCGAUUGUUGAUAUUUUCUUCUAUAGAUCUAACAUUGUUAACUGAAGUUUUGUAAUCUCUUAUAUCAAAAAAGUAGAUUAUUUUAAAAUAAACCAUGUGAUACACUCAA